AUUGAACGCUGGCGGCAUGCCUUACACAUGCCAGUCGAACGGUAACAGGUCUUCGGACGCUGACGAGUGGCGGACGGGGGCGUAAUACAUCGGAACGUGCCCGAUCGUGGGGGAUAACGAGGCGAAAGCUUUGCUAAUACCGCAUACGAUCUACGGAUGAAAGCGGGGGAUCUUCGGACUUCGCGCGGACGGAGCGGCCGAUGGCAGAUUAGGUAGUUGGUGGGAUAAAAGCUUACCAAGCCGACGAUCUGUAGCUGGUCUGAGAGGAUGAUCAGCCACACUGGGACUGAGACACGGCCCAGACUCCUACGGGAGGCAGCAGUGGGGAAUUUUGGACAAUGGGCGAAAGCCUGAUCCAGCCAUGCCGCGUGCAGGAUGAAGGCCUUCGGGUUGUAAACUGCUUUUGUACGGAACGAAAAGCCUCUUUCUAAUAAAGAGGGGUCAUGACGGUACCGUAAGAAUAAGCACCGGCUAACUACGUG
RNAcentral lists this ribosomal RNA (482 nucleotides) under uncultured bacterium. RNAcentral describes it as "partial 16S ribosomal RNA". It matches the Rfam family "Bacterial small subunit ribosomal RNA", at positions 30 to 507 of the family's 1533-position model. The record is from RNAcentral.